Molecule: unclassified non-coding RNA, 354 nt
Filed under: Hevea brasiliensis (rubber tree)
Lineage: Eukaryota; Viridiplantae; Streptophyta; Magnoliopsida; Malpighiales; Euphorbiaceae
Source: RNAcentral
UGCAGACAGGAACUCAAGAACCCGGUAAUUUAAUUUCCUUAUCUUUUUGUUGUCUGGUGCAUUUUAAUGGGUAUAAAAAGCAGGAGUGCUAAUAUGCGCUAGGGUAAUGAUAAUUUGAUUAACUAAUGAAUAAAGUGAAUAAAGGUUUGUCUCACUCUGGACCUAUUGGGAUUUGCGAUAACUGUAUAAGGAUUUGGGUUCUUGUUAAAGUUGGCAUGUGGGUUGUCAAUUUCUUUAUCACCUGUUCACUCGCCACAUGCCUGGUCUGCUAAGUUGGGCACCACCACCUUAUCUGUUUUGUAAUUUAGCUAAAAAAUAAUAAUAAUCUUAUAAUAGAUGGAAGCUGAGAGCCAG